ACGAACGCUGGCGGCGUGCUUCACACCUGCAAGUCGCACGGAAAGGCCCUGCUUUUGUGGGGUGCUCGAGUGGCGAACGGGUGAGUAACACGUGAGUAACCUGCCCUUGACUUUGGGAUAACUUCAGGAAACUGGGGCUAAUACCGGAUAGGAGCUCCUGCUGCAUGGUGGGGGUUGGAAAGUUUCGGCGGUUGGGGAUGGACUCGCGGCUUAUCAGCUUGUUGGUGAGGUAGUGGCUUACCAAGGCUUUGACGGGUAGCCGGCCUGAGAGGGUGACCGGCCACAUUGGGACUGAGAUACGGCCCAGACUCCUACGGGAGGCAGCAGUGGGGAAUAUUGCACAAUGGGCGGAAGCCUGAUGCAGCAACGCCGCGUGCGGGAUGACGGCCUUCGGGUUGUAAACCGCUUUCGCCUGUGACGAAGCGUGAGUGACGGUAAUGGGUAAAGAAGCACCGGCUAACUACGUG
RNAcentral lists this ribosomal RNA (467 nucleotides) under uncultured bacterium. RNAcentral describes it as "partial 16S ribosomal RNA". It matches the Rfam family "Bacterial small subunit ribosomal RNA", at positions 29 to 507 of the family's 1533-position model. The record is from RNAcentral.